This is a long non-coding RNA of Melospiza melodia melodia, 343 nucleotides long. RefSeq lists it as uncharacterized. The record is from RefSeq and is a predicted model, not a curated record. NCBI's taxonomy places the organism in Eukaryota, Metazoa, Chordata, Aves, Passeriformes, Passerellidae. The transcript is spliced from 2 exons.
GAGGAAGAGAAGGUGACGUCGGAGCGCCGCCGCUGGCCUUGGCCGGAGCUCACCCGGCCAUGGGCGACGGAGCCAUCACAUGGGGCAGAUGUGACAGCCUUGGGCCGAGAAAUGGAGAAAAUUUUGUACAAAAAUCUCGACAAGUCUGAGUCAUUCCAUGGGCACAGACGCCUGAAAAUUCCCUAAAAAAACCCCAAAAAAUCCCUAAAAAAUCCCUAAAAAUCCCCCCAAAAUUCCCCAAAAAAUUCCCAAAAAUUCCCCCAAAAAUCCUGGAAAAUUUGGGAAUUUUUCGCUUCCACACUGUGGAUUUUGUGCCUAAAAAAUUGUUGAAUUUUGGUUUUUU